GGGCGCUUAGCUCAGUUGGUUAGAGCAUUACCUUCACACGGUAGGGGUCACUGGUUCGAGUCCAGUAGCGCCCACCA
RNAcentral lists this transfer RNA (77 nucleotides) under Kiritimatiellia bacterium. RNAcentral describes it as "Kiritimatiellae bacterium (gut metagenome) tRNA-Val". It matches the Rfam family "tRNA". Rfam says of the family: Transfer RNA (tRNA) molecules are approximately 80 nucleotides in length. Lineage: Bacteria; Pseudomonadati; Kiritimatiellota; Kiritimatiellia. The record is from RNAcentral.